This 248-nucleotide ribosomal RNA is filed under the name uncultured Blautia sp. RNAcentral describes it as "partial 16S ribosomal RNA". It matches the Rfam family "Bacterial small subunit ribosomal RNA", at positions 524 to 771 of the family's 1533-position model. The record is from RNAcentral. Lineage: Bacteria; Bacillati; Bacillota; Clostridia; Lachnospirales; Lachnospiraceae.
UACGUAGGGGGCAAGCGUUAUCCGGAUUUACUGGGUGUAAAGGGGGCGCAGACGGCAGCGCAAGCCAGGAGUGAAAGCCCGGGGCCCAACCCCGGGACUGCUCUUGGAACUGCGCGGCUGGAGUGCAGGAGGGGCAGGCGGAAUUCCUGGUGUAGCGGUGAAAUGCGUAGAUAUCGCGCAGAACUCCGAUUGCGAAGGCAGCCUGCUGGACAUUAACUGACGCUGAGGCGCGAAAGCGUGGGGAGCAA